This 1007-nucleotide ribosomal RNA is filed under the name uncultured soil eukaryote. RNAcentral's name for it is "partial small subunit ribosomal RNA". It matches the Rfam family "Eukaryotic small subunit ribosomal RNA", at positions 4 to 896 of the family's 1831-position model. The record is from RNAcentral.
CCGUUUGAUCUUGACGGUAGUCAUAUGCUUGUCUCUGAGACUAAGCCAUGCAAGUGUAAGUAGAAGCUAAAGUUGAUUUUUGAAUCUACUUAUUUAUAAGGUUAAACUGCAUAUGGCUCAUUAAACCAGUUAUAAUUGAAUUGAUGGAUAAUUUUUUUUUUAAAAAAAAAAAAAAAUUUAAAUGGAUAACCUUAGUAAUUCCAAGGCUAAUACAUGCAACAUAACCUUUAAAUUUUUUAUUUAAAGGUGUAUUUAUUUGAUAUAACAAAAAAAUUUAAAAAAAAACCAAAUCUUAGAAUAUAUUUAAAAAAAUUCUUAAUUUCUUAAAAAGAUGAAUUAAAAUAACUAAACAAAUCAUUUUUUUUUUAAAAAAAUGAUGAUAUAAACAAGUUUCUGACCUAUCAACUGUCGAUGGUAAAAUAUUAGUUUACUAUGGUUUUAACGGGUGACGGAGAAUUUGGGUUUGGUUCCGGAGAGGGAGCCUGAGAAAUGGCUACUACUUCCAAGGAAGGCAGCAGGCGCGCAAAUUACCCAAUCUCAAUUCGAUGAGGUAGUGACAAGAAAUAUCCAUAUAGAAUCAGUUAAAUGGUUCUAUAAUGGGAAUGAGUAAGAUAUAAAAACACAAAUAAGGAACAAUUGGAGGGUAAGUCUGGUGUUAGCAGUUGUGGUAAUUCCAGCUCCAAUAGUGUAUAUUAAAGUUGUUGCGGUUAAAAAGCUCGUAGUUGAACCGCGGGUUCGAUAACCACCUACCAACUUCACUACGGUGAUGUUGGAAUCAAUAGGGGGUGAUCUCACCCGAUCAAUCGAUCCAUACAUAAAAGGCUUUCGGAUCGGGCCUGCUUGGUCCGGGAGUCGUAUGGUUCAGUUUACUGUGAACAAAUUCGAGUGUUUAAAGCAGGCUAUUGCUUGAAGACAUUAGCAUGGGAUAAUGAAAUACGACCUAAUCCUUACUUCAUUGGUUCUAAGGAAAAGGUAAUGAUUAAUAGGGACAGUCGGGGUCGCUAGUA